GCAAGUCGAGCGGUAACAGAUCUAGCUUGCUAGAUGCUGACGAGCGGCGGACGGGUGAGUAACGCGUAGGAAUCUGCCUGGUAGUGGGGGAUAGCCAGAGGAAACUCUGAUUAAUACCGCAUACGCCCUACGGGGGAAAGGAGGGGCUCUUGGACCUUUCGCUAUCAGAUGAGCCUGCGUGAGAUUAGCUUGUUGGUGAGGUAAAGGCUCACCAAGGCGACGAUCUCUAGCUGGUCUGAGAGGAUGAUC
RNAcentral lists this ribosomal RNA (249 nucleotides) under uncultured bacterium. Its description in RNAcentral is "partial 16S ribosomal RNA". It matches the Rfam family "Bacterial small subunit ribosomal RNA", at positions 57 to 305 of the family's 1533-position model. The record is from RNAcentral.